AAAUUAUGUUUAUUUUAUAUUUAUAUUUAUAUAUUUAUUUUAGUGUAAAUUAUAAUUAAUUUAAAUAAUUAAUUAUUUAAUUAAAUUUUAAUUUUUAAUUUUAAUAUUUUUAUUAUUAAAUAAAUUUAAAAUUAGUAAUAUAUAUAUAUAUAUAUAUAUAUAUAUAUAUAUAUAUAAUUAUAAAUUAAUAUUGUGCCAGCAAUUGCGGUUAAACUUUAUUAUAAAAUUAAAUAUUGAAUUAAUUAAUAUAAAUAUAUAAUUUAAAAUUUAUUUAAAUAACUUUUAUUUUUAGAUGAAAUUAGUGAAUAAUUUUGUAGUUUUAAUAAUAUUAAUAAAUAUAUAAAAAAAUAAAAUAUAAACUAGGAUUAGAUACCCUAUUAUAAAUUUAAUUAAUAAUUAAUUAUAUUAGUAAUAUGAAAUUUGUGAAAUUUAAAGAAUAUGGCGGUAAAUUAAUCAAUUUAGAGGAAUUUGUAAAUUAAAUGAUAAUCCACGAUUUGUUUUACUUAUAAUUGUUUGUAUAUCGUUGUUAAAAAUUUAUUUGUUUUUUAAUGAUAAUUAAUUUUAAAUAUUUAAUAAAUAUAUCAAAUCAAGAUACAGCUUAUUUAUAAGAAUAUAUAUAUAUAUAUAUAUGAAUUACAGUUAAUAUAUUAAAAAUUAAUUAAUAAAUUUAAAUUUUAUUAAAUUAAAAGGAUUUAAAAGUAAUUUUAUAAAAUUAUUUAAAAUAAAUUUAGUUUUAAUUUAUGUACAUAUUGCCCGUCGCUCUAGAUAAUUAAAAUUUAAUAAUUUUAAGUUUUAGAUAAGUCGUAACAUAGUAGAAGUAUUGGAAAAUGUUUCUA
RNAcentral lists this ribosomal RNA (836 nucleotides) under Macrostemum radiatum. RNAcentral's name for it is "12S ribosomal RNA". Lineage: Eukaryota; Metazoa; Arthropoda; Insecta; Trichoptera; Hydropsychidae. The record is from RNAcentral.